This 306-nucleotide ribosomal RNA is filed under the name Triticum aestivum (bread wheat). RNAcentral's name for it is "partial small subunit ribosomal RNA". The record is from RNAcentral. Lineage: Eukaryota; Viridiplantae; Streptophyta; Magnoliopsida; Poales; Poaceae.
AUGCCAGCAGCCACCAUGGAGCCCGGAACCACCCCCUGGUCAACGGGCUUGUUCGACUGCGCCGACGACCAUGGCGUCUGCUUGCUGGGGUGGUGCUGCCCGUGCAUCGCGGUGGGGCGGAUGGCGGAGAUCCUGGACAAGGGGGCGACGUCAAGCGGCGCCGGCGCGGCCCUGUACAUGGCGAUAGGGGUGCUGUCGGGGUGGCAGUGCCAGUGGAUCUACUCCUGCGUGUACCGCACCAAGAUGCGCGCCCAGUACGGGCUCCAGGAGACCCCCUGCCCGGACUGCUGCGUCCACUUCUGCUGA